GGGGGGGGGGCAGCAGCAGAGAUAAGGAACAAUUUGUCAAAGAGAACCUUUCUAUCCAUCUUGUUAGGCUGACAAACAAUUGGCAUAGAACUCUUCCCAUGCAUAAUCAAAAUGCAAAUACCAAUGAAUCAAGGAAUUUCCAUCCAAACAUGAUACAGACACCUUAAUUGACUAAGAAGCACAUCAAGGUAAAAUCCAAUCUUAUAGAUUUCGGGUGCUUAAACCAGUCCUGUAAGGUUUUUUAGCCCUUACCCCUGACUACUAUUGGUCUCAUUUUCAAUGUUUGCAUUUCCUGGAUUAACAAAUCCGCUUUUGUACAAAAGGUGCAAUUCAUGAAAAUAUGGGCAAGUCUUACUGUUUUCGUGCCGCUUCUUUCCCCCACUUUCCAUUGAUUUUCUGAAGUACUUGUUGAUGUUUUCCCAUUUCUCU
RNAcentral lists this unclassified non-coding RNA (429 nucleotides) under Hevea brasiliensis (rubber tree). Lineage: Eukaryota; Viridiplantae; Streptophyta; Magnoliopsida; Malpighiales; Euphorbiaceae. The record is from RNAcentral.